Non-coding RNA from Xyrichtys novacula (pearly razorfish), 13073 nucleotides. NCBI's taxonomy places the organism in Eukaryota, Metazoa, Chordata, Actinopteri, Labriformes, Labridae. The record is from the annotation of a GenBank genome assembly.
UUUUUUUUCACUCUUGUACCAAACGACAGGAAAUCCUGUUUUCAUCAGUCUAACUUAUUCUAAACCUUCAGUUUCAUCAUCACCGUUGCUGUAGUGAUGACCCCGUUUGACCUCUUCAGCGACUUUCCUCCUCAUCCCAUCAGUCAGACAUUACAGCUGUCAAUCAAUCACUGGCUAACAGAACUGCCUUCCAGUGAGUGUGUCCUGUGUGUCACCCUGCUCUGCUAAAUGCACACAUGCACCAUCCACACUGCACCAUGCGUGUGUGUGUGUCUGUGCGUGUGAGAGAGUGUGAGAGUGUGUGUGUGUCGUCUACCUCUCAGACUCUGCAGACUCGGUGCUGUGAGCUUAUAUUGAGCUGUGCUGCUGCUGCUGUUUUCUCACAUGCGUGGGCUCCAGCGUGACAGAUCUGGGUCUCUGCUGAUGAACUACUUGGUUGUAGCUAGGGCUGAUUCCCAACCAUACCAGCACGUCACAAAUACACAAAGAGAGCAACAUAGUAUUGAUAAGCCGAUAUCGAUGAGGCGAUGUCUACCUGGGUGCAGCGUUCAGCGUUUGAUGGAGUGUAGCACCAAAGCUAAUUAGUGUAUAACCUUUUUGAGCACACUGCUUGGUGCAAAGUUUGGAUAUUCCUGCGCCUACUUAUCUGUGUAUGUGUGUGUGUGUGCAAACUCAGCAUGCACAUGUGUGUGUGAGCCUUUGUCUGCCAGUAUGCUAAUAUUAGCGCCUCGCCAAAGGCUGGCUCUAUCUGACACAAAGCAGGUGAUAAAUGAGGAUGACUGCACUCCACUUGUGUGUGUGUGUGUGUGUGUGUGUGUGUGUGUGUGUGUGUGUGUGUGUGUGUGUAUGCUGGUGCAUGUGGGAGAUUUGAAAACUGGUAGCGUCAGUGAUUUUUCUCCAAAAGGAGAGGUGAGAGCGUGCUGUAGAUCCAGAUGCACGGUUUUCUGCAGCUGUAUAGAGAUGGAAAAGCGGCACAAUGCGCCGUCUGCCAGCCAGCCAGCAGUCAAAGAGGAUUGGAGGUAAGCCGGCUGCAGACACAGUCGGUCGAUCAGUCAGUCAGAGAGGGAGGGAUAACACAAGAAAAGCAAGAGGGCAGUGUGGUCUCAGGGAUUUUUCCUUUUUUCCUUUCCCUGUCUCCCCGGGCCUCGUCGCUGAUUUGAGCCUUCAGCCGGCUGCAUGUCGUUGCUCUCCUUUUUUCUGCUUCAUCUGUCCCUCCCCCCAUCAUCUCUCGUUUUUCUCUCCUUCUCCUUUCUCUCUCUCUCUCUCUCUCUCUCUCUCUCUCUCGCUCCCAGCCAGUGGAGAUUAAAUGUAGCCUCUAUAAGCCAAAGCACAUCAUGUAGCAAUGUUUCUAUGGUCCCUUCUCUCUCUCACUCUCUCCUUCCUUUCCUGAAGUGACUGAUGUUUGCAAAAAAGAGAGAAUAGAAAGAAAAAGAGAGGACUGCUAAAGUGGAUUUUUGCUUUUGCAUGCAGAAGAAAGCAGUGGAUUUGUUUGAAGGGGUGGAAAUCAGACAACGGCAAGGUGGAAAAAACAACGAAAAGGAGGACUACCUUCUCUCUGCACCCCCUCCUCCCCCCCUCCUCCCCCUCCUUCUCCUCCCCCCUCACCUCUCUCUUGUCUGAUACUGAGGAAAAGUGGGCCUCUGGCAGUAAGCGAUUACAGCUGUGAGGCAAAUUAAUGGAUGAUAUUUCUCCCCCUCCUCUUUUCUCCUCCCGCCGAUCAACACGGUGAAAGAAGGAAGAAAGAGCCAGAGGUGGGGAGAAUGAAAAAGAAAGACUGGGAGAAAGAGGUGGAGUACUAAUAUCGGACGAAGGAGAGGAGGAGGGGAGGAAGGAGGGGAGGAAGGGGGGAGUUAUGGUUUUUUCCUGUCUUCCCUCCUUUCCAGCUCUGCAUGUGAUUGAAAGAGCGAGAAAACAAUGCGAGGGGGAAAAAGGGCGAGGAAAAAGAAAAAGAGAAAGCGGAGCCGAGACGAGAGAUCAGCAGGCGGGUUCCUUUAACUUGGAUUUGUGUGUGUGUGUGUGUGUGUGUGCGUUUUUCCCUUGCUAACCUGCCUUGAAGCUGCAGAUUUGGAUAAAAAAAAGUAAGUAAAGUGCAAGAAAAAUCUGAAUAGAGUGAUAGUGUUUUCUGUAAGCAAUGCAGGCAUGUGUGUGUACGCAAGGAAGCAUGAGUGUGUAAGUGCAAGUGUGUGCACCCCCUCCUCACUCCCUACCUUUACCCCCUCUUUCUCCCCUCGGUAAGGCAGCAUACUGGUAUCUGCUUCACUGGCACUAUGGCCCUGCGCGGCUGCAAAGACUGAUUCUUGAUGCUUGCUUUUUUCUUUUUUUUUUUUCUUUUCUCGUCGCUCGCUCUUUGUGUCCCUCACUCACUUUCUCUCACCUGCUUCUUUUACCUGUAUGGACUAACCUUUGUGUAUCACUUCCACUCAGCGUUUGGUUUUCAGGGAAGCGUCUCGCGACUUGCGUCCUCUCCAGAUUGCUCGCUCUUGCUCUACUUGCGUGAGUGUGUGUGUGUGUGUGUGAGUGUGUGUGAGAGCGAGAGAGAGAGAGAGAGAGAGAGAGAGCAAAGGGAAAGAUAGAGAGAAAGUGUGUGCACAUGGUUCAUUCCGGCUCGGUCCUACCACCCAUCCUUAUGCCUCUCUUUCUUGUCUCUGUCCGUUGCUGCUUUCCCAUUUAUCUCGCCGACCUUAAGACCGACAGACGGAUGGAACCCUCGCUCCCGUCGCUUUUUUCUGUGACCAAUCAAAACUUCCUCCAGUGAACAUUUCUGGAAUCUUGUUGGCGUGCUGUAAGUUUAAAAAUCUGAGAUGUCUCUUCUCUCUUUCUCCUCUUUUCUUCUCCUACCGAGCAGGAAGCGAGAUAGAAGAAAAACAACGAGCGAAAGGGGGCAUCCUGGAUCCUGGAGGGGAGGGUGAGUCGAUACCGAGCAAAUACUCUUCCUCCUCACUUCCCUCGGCUCCCCAUCUGUUUCCUAAGCUUCGGACCACCAUGGUGGCAUGAAGGAGCCGCAGCAGAGCUUUGUUAUCUGGCUCGUCUUUUCUCUGUCCAGAGGAUUCGGAGGACCACACUGAGCGGGGAUUUGCACUGGUAAUGAUUGAGCAUGCACUGGAUGAUUUUUAAAACAGUGACAGCCGGGAGAGCAUCAUGUGAGAGGGGGCUGUUUGACUCUGUGCGGUCCCACAGCUUCGGAUUUCGAUGCUGUAAUUGAUGUAUACGCUCCGGGUUUUUAGUCUCAUGCAUCCUGACAAUGAUUAGCAAUCAGCAGCUGAUUUUGAUUUUCCCUGAAGCGGGAGAUCUUCAGACACAGCAGCAGGCUCUGUACCUGAUAGCAGGAGGCAUUUUUCAAAGUGCUGUAUUGUUCAGUUGAGGUGGGGGAGGGGGAGAGGGAGAAAAAGGGAAGAGAGAGAGAGAGAGUUGGCUUUGGUGGGGGGGGGGGGGGGGGGGUUGGCCAGUGUUGUGUCUGGCUGAGGUUUGCACUUGUUGUAUGUUCACGACUACAUGUGGGGGCAGAGGAGGUUGCAGAGCAUGCAUGUAAACGAGGAGUGAUGCGAAGCUGUAUGUGUGCUGCAGGGAGAGCUCGCUCGGCAUGCACGAGAUGCUCAGACGCUCUGAGUCCUCAUUUGACUUAUGGACGAGUUCUCAUGGAGGCAGGCUUAUGCAAGAGAAGUCAAAAAAGCAGCAGCUCGCGUGAGGAAGUGGAGGAGUGAAGAUGUAUCUGUCUCCGUCCCUGAGACCCUAACUUGUGACGUUAUGUUCUUCAUGUCCACGGGUUAGGCUCUCGGGAGCUGAGAGGGAUGCACGGCCAGCGCUAUCUCUCGCACGUUCCUGCCUCUAACAAUGGCGAUCAGAGCAGGGUGCGGGGAAGGCCGUGGCGCAGCAAGGCUAAGGCGUUCGCCGCACGCUCGCCGUGUCACACAUUUCGGUUUGGCUCACACCCUUCUGUUCGAUGCGUGUCCCCUGGGCUAAUCUGUUUUCUGUCUACUGCGCAGUGGGCACAAGAUGAAAAAUAGACAGGCUGCCGAAAUCUCCAAACUGAGACGGAUGGCGGCGUAGAUGUGGUGGCAUGUACGAUAUUUGGAUGAUUCUGUGACACAGAACGGGAUAAGCUGAUGUGUGUGGACGGAUGACAUGAUGCUAACAGCAAGGGCCUGAUUAAAUCAAAGUCAAUGAUAAUUAUUAUCUUUUCAUAUUCAGCUACAUUUUAAAGGGAAACGCAGAACAGGCUGCGUUUUUAAACUUUAAUGUGAUGCUAUUUGUGUUGCGCCCUUAUUCCGAUGUCAAUGCACUGAGAAUAUCUGUAAUUCUGCAUUUCAGCUUAGCGCUCUAAAUCUGCAACAAAACCACCUGAGUAGAGGGAAUUUCUAAUGCAAUGAUUUCAUAUCUAAGUUUUACGCGUCUACGCUAAUUAUUUAGCAUCCCGUUUUGAUAAAAGUUUAGACAGGUGCGGGUUUAAACCAGGUGAAAUACUAGUUUAAGACAUGCUAGCAUCCUAAGCUACUAGCCAGCCUUUGCUAAUAGGUGUUGCUGCUUCCUCUGCUAGAGAAAUGGCUAAACAGCUGGUUAGCAUCAGGAGCUAAUGGGCGCAAUGCUAAUGCUGCUUUGGUAGCAAUAGCCUCUUCACACAUCAGUGGAUUCUGCUAAGUAAAGAAGCAUCCGUCAGAGUGUUAGAGCUCUUUGUGUCUAUAGCGGACCUGUCUGUGUCUGCUGCCAUGUGUGUGUGCGCGUGUGUACGUUAGUGUGUGUGUGCUUUUAUGACUUGAGAGCAGCACAGAGUAAUGUUGAGAGCGUGACCAUGACAGCUCUGUACAUUAUGUGCUUGACCUCAGUGAACCCCCGACGAUGUUCAGCCUCACUCGCUCAUGCUAACACACAUGUAGAGGUGGCAGACGGACACACACACUCACACACACACACCAAAUUAUGUCCACUGAGAAUAAUCUACUGCCAGCCAACCAUGAUUCAUCUGUGACGGGUUUCUGAAAAUGCAACUGUUGAUCUGAUUCAAACAAAGUGGCAGCAGCACACUUCUCUCGGUUAUAUAAGCACAAUUUCCAAACACUGAGUUCGGAUUUUGGAGGACGAUCCAGUCAGUCACAGCAGCGAAUAAGCACUUUAAGGAAGUUUUACCCUCGACACUUGUUAUUAAAGGGCUUAUUUCGCCACUCAAAGCUGUGUUGAACCUUGCACUUCAUUCUAUAGAGAGUUCUAUCCAUCUCUUGGGUGUUGCAUUUGCAGCAUAUUUCAUACCAGAAGCUAUUCAAUAAUGUGAUUCAUUGGUAUUGGACUUCACACUGUAGCUAAUAUCAGGUUUUAAUGGGGCGUAGUAAGAGUAUUGACUGUCCUUAAGGAUGCCUGCCUGUGUUUAAAUGGAUGCUAAACCCUGUGCACUUGUGGAGCUCACAUCUAAGGGGGGAUGGGUGGGGGGGUUCAUGCUAAGGUGCUAGACGUGUCUGCUGCAAGGCCCUACAAGGAUGCAUACGAAACAUGUUCUUGUUUGGUUUAAAAUGCCUCAUGUUAUCUCAGAGAUAAAUUUGUGAUAAUUUUUUUAAAUAUUGAGUAUAUUUUUAUGUGUGACGAAAAGGUGACAUGGCACACAAGCCUCACAACGAACACAGGUACUGACAAAAGCACAGAGCGGUUAAGGUGAACAGGAGGAUUUAAUAAGGCUGUGGAAGUUCAAGUUUGAUAAUAAAACAACUAAUUAAGUAAAUUUUAUAUGGAGCUGUUUUUAAAAAGGCAGUGGUAUACUCAAAUUAGUUGCUGUUUCUGUUUUUCAAGCCCACGUCUCACAUUUUUGCAACCCUGACGCUUCAUCGAUAGAUCAAUGCUCCCCUCUCUUCAAAUCAGGAGUAUCACAGAUUGCCUCACACAUGACCUUGAAAACUAUUUUUAUCACUUCCCCUCCUCUAAUGCAGUUAAUCCAAGCAACAUCAGCCGAUACCUUCUGCUGAUUUGUUCCUUUUUUAAGUCCCUUUAUUCACUGUAACUGUAUGCUGUGUCCGUUCUGAUGUUAACAAACUAAUAUGGAUUAUAACUUUGAAUCUUUCUGCACAGCUAAUCUACAGCUUUGGCAUCACUCUUAUGUAACACUUCUUCCAUUUCCUGCGAUAUCUCCGCACCAGAAUCUCCUUUUGUUUGUUAGCUUGGUGUACAAACACUAACCUGGAGCAGCUUUUUUUUGUGUUGACGGUAAAGCAGGAGAAAAGGGGCUGCAGGCUUGCUCUCCAUUGUUCGGCUGCUGCGCUCACUGUCUGUACACUGUGUCCCCAUGGCAGAGGCAGACGUGGAGUAGAGACAGACAGACAUACAGACAGACAGAGCGACUGGUGGGCACACGCCUGCCUCGAUAAGCUGCUACGAUGUCGACUGAAUACUGUUAAGAAAAGGAAAAUGUAAAAAAAGGGGGGGGUAUUCGCUCACCAGUGUCACCUGUAAGCUGAAUUAUGAUCCGACUGUGACACACUUACAAAAACUAAGGUUAUCCGAUUAUUCGAUGAACUGGUGACUACUUGGGGAGCUGCUUCAGGUGUGUCUGUCAGUAAAACCUGUGAUGCCAUUAGUUCCAGAAACAUCAGGUCUUACAGAUUUUCAAGUCGAGGUUUCGGUUUCAGUUGAAGCCUCGCAUUUUCUGUGCAAAUGCAGCUUUUAUGGCGUAAUACGUUGCACAUUCCUGCAUCAAUUGAUCCCGUUUGCCAGCAAGCAGCUGCUGAUUGAUGAUAUCCUUGUUAAGAUGAACUCUUUUUUUAGGGGGGUACUCUGGAAGUUACAGGAAAUAGGAAUCUGGUGGAGUGUGUGUUAGCACAGGUGUGGAGGCGAUGUUGCCGCAGGUUGACGCCCAAUGUGCCAAGGGAGAACGGUCGCAACACACGGGCAGUAAAGGGAAAAUGAUCAAUCAGGGAGAUUGAUCACGUUAGGGAAAGGCGUCGAAUGAAGCGUGAGAGGUCUGGCGAUGAGUUGAGAUGUGUUUGUGGCCGCAGUGAUGCCUUCACAGUCACCAUCCUGCAGUUUUUUUCUGCCACUCCCUUCCACACACACAGACUGGCUCAGCUGCAGGCGGGAGCAGCGCACUCAUCAAUAACUCGAGCUGAUCAGUGUGUGUGUGUGUGUGUUUGUCUGAGUGUGUGUGUGCUUCCUACAGUAUCCGUCAGCAUGUCUGUAAUGUCUUAUUUGUGUGUGUGUGUGUGUGUGUGUGUGUUUAGCAGCACUGCAGAGGGGUUCACCACUCGCUCCUUCCAAGUCUGUCGGUGAAACAAGAUGGCGUCGCGGCUCCACGUGGACCCUCCCUCCCUACUGUGCCGCCUAAUGCCCACUUUAGUGAUAGCACCAGAAAGCUAGCAGAGGUCACAUUUGGAAUUGUUGCACACCUGGGGCAUAUUUAUUCCCCACAUAGCUGAAAUUGCUGAGGCACUUCUUGGUGCUGGAGCUCGGCCGACUUUGGGAGAUUUAGGAUUUGGGGCCGAUCCAGAGCUUUCAUUGUUUUUCUUGGUUGCUUUUUCUCUCAGUCUGUGUAUCGGCUGCCAGACUGUAUGCUGUUUUGACUGCGAUGUGGGCGGUUUAAAAUGUUCUGGUGGGGUGGACGAGUAUGUUUUCAGCAUGAUUUGUCUGCCAGCCUGCUUGCGUGGAAGUGUGUGUGCGUGUCCUCCCUGACUCAGGCUAAAGCUAGGGCCAGUUUAAAGGAGCUUGGGGAUUGUGCAGCCACACCACAGUGGCAGAUUAAUCUGACUACACACUAACCUCAUUAAUCUGAGAGAGAGUAAUGUCAGCAACAAUGUGUCUGCAGUCACAAUCAAUCACACACACACACACAAACACACACACACGUAUUUAAAGCUGUGUCCUUUGUCUGCAGCUCAGAAAGACACAGGUAAUGAUGGCUGGAGUGUCAUUACUGUCCUGCUCCAGGUCAUGCUGCAUUCACUGACAUGCUGGAAAUCCCCAGAGAUGAAUCAACAUUUAAUUCUUUGCUGCCACGUCAACUGCAGAGCUGCAUUUGUGGAUGUUACAAGGGAGACAGUUACCUCCUGCUAGCAGCAAGCUAGUGGCUGCAGAUGUGAUCAGGUACUGUGUUUCUGCACGAAUGGGUGUGAUUUGUGGGUUUAAAGUUUCUUUGACUCUUCUGGUACUCUUGCAUCUUUAUAUCUGUGUUCUUUUUAAUGAUGUGAUGGGCACAGCAUACAACAAAUGGAUCAGAUGGAGACGUCAUAAAAUCAGUUUUCUCAAGGAGCAGAAAUACAUGUAGCAUGUUUUGCAAAAAGUCAGAACAGUGCCAGAUUUGUGGUUACAGCAUAAUGAUGACCCUUUUUUUUGUGGAAAACAUUCCCCUCCUCUGACUCUUCAGUUCAGAGCUGCAACAAUAAGUCAGUACACCAGUGGAAACCAGCUUUAUGACUUUGACAUAUGAAUGUUUCUUUUCAAGCACAAUUGCAAACACUUCACCUAGAUCUAUGCAUUCAAUAACUUGCAUUUUUGUCGUUAAUUUCUGUCAAUUUCCAAACAAAACACAAAAGUUCAGUACAUACUGCUGGUUGCAGUUUGCAAAAUAAUAUUCUGGAUUGCAGAUGGUAUAAGAUUCAGCUUGAUCACAGGAAAUGCAAGUUAUUGUUCAACUAGAAUACAACUUAUGUGCAUGUUUUAAUGUUGUUUAGAACAGUUGAGAAACGUCAUCCUUAACAUUCUGUCGAUUUAGCAUCACAUCAGUCUUGCUUUCUUGCUCCUUACACAGAUUCCACAAGCAGGUUCCUCAAACAAGCUUAAUUUAGCAUCAGCACCCUCUCUUCAUCAUAAAUAUUCAUGUUGUUUGUAUUUAAAAAAAGCUGCUGUGAUAUAUUUUGUCUGUCAGUUUUCUCCUUAUAUUAAUCAAAAUUUUAAAAUGACUGUUUUUGUGUUUUGAAUGAAAGAAUGUUUAACAUUUUGUUUUCAUCAACACUAUUUCAGUAAAUGUUCGUCCUGAGAAUUUUUUCUUUGUUUUAAGCUCCUUAAAUAUGAAUGUCAUCUGGUUUCUGUCUUUUAUAAUAGUGAAUGAAAAUAUUUGAGUUGUGCAUAAAUACCUCACAUAUUGUGACAUCAGUUUGCAACAGAAAGAUUCAUUUUUGCAGCCCUGAUUUACAGCUGUUUGUGGAUGCUGGUAUGAGAUUUUUAGCAGAGCAAAUAAAGCAGAAUGCACCUUUAAAAGUUUGUGUAAAGAUUUGAGAAUAACUGUGGUGUGUGAUGUACUGUGAUUGAUUAAAUGCUGCAUUGUUUUUUACUGUUAAUUUUAUUUUGUUUUUAUGAAUGCUUUCCUUACAUGAAUCUUGAUGGUUGAAAUGCUAGUGUAAGACCACUAUGGCCUCUUUUUUCCCUCUGCAAAAUAACUGGGAGGAAGAAGCAUGGAUGCGAGAGCAGCACAGCAAAUCUUCAGAGGUCUGGGACUGAAAUAGAGCUGUCUGUAUCUAAAUAAAGCCCUGAUACUGUCAUUUCACAUGGUUCUUGAUUCUUUCUUUCUUUCUGUUGUGUGUAUUAAUAGCAGCUCUGAAUACGUCGUUGGAUACUUUCUGAACUGAUUUGUCAUGUGACAUCUUUUUUUUUUUUUUUUUUUUCUGAUCUCUGAAGAUAUUUUUGCACCUUUUUUAAGUCUUGAAUCUGUGUCAGACAGAUUACUCUGAUCUGUUGUGUGAUUUUUUUUUUUUUUUUGGUUUGUUUCUGCAGAGCUGCAGAGACAUAUUACAACAUCCUCUCUGCAGACCACAAAGGCACAGGACAGCACAUGGACCAAAAUAAAAAGCUUAAAAAAGAGCGUUUGCAGCUGCUCCACUGUUGUCACUGUGCAUGUUUUCAUAUGAUCUGAACUUGGACGAGUUUAUGCAUGGCUAUCUAUGAAAUGGGUCACCAUACCACAGUAAGACACUACAGUCUAUGUUUGCCAUGGUAACUGAGCCAAUUAAAAUACACUUGUGCAAAUGCUUUGCUUACGGCUCUUUUAACCUUACACCCUUUUUCUUUUUGCCAUAUUUUGGGAAAUAUAAUUGCAGAAGAGGAGCUGUAAUGCACUGCUCAUGUACUGUACAUACAGUAUUUGGCUCAUGGUGAUCCAGAUAAUACAGAGCUUUGUCUUUCUCUCUCUCCUACAGCUUAUGAGACCAGGCCAGGACAUGUCGAGGAAUGGUCCGUGGGUGUGAGAUGGAUAUGACACCCACUCUGAAGCAAAAUCCAAGUGUCCGCACCCAUGCAAACACUCACCUGAGUGGUAUAUCCGAUAUCUUGACCAGGAUUCACUUACACUCACAUACUGUUUUACAGUUGAAGUGAGAUUUUACAGUCAGUGUGUCUCCAAAAGCUUUUAUGAGUAAAUAGUUCAACUGAUUUUUGUAUUUAAAUGUAUUUUAUGUGAAUAAAAUGUUUAUAAAAAAUACCUUCUCGUCAUUUUUCAUGAUAUGCACAAGUGUUUUACAUCCACAUUUAUGUAGCACUAUUCAGAAAGCCUCCUAAAAUCAGAAGUACAUUAAGUGUUAGUAGUUAGCUAAGCUCCUGCAGUGGGAUAUUUCAAUGCUAAUGCUAACAUUUUAGUGUGUUACGCUAUGACUCCAUGCUAACUCUUUCACACUUUUCUUAAUCUAGAAAUACUUAUAAUCUUAGCAUUUACUCCUCUGAAGUGCACAAAGGUAGCUCCAACAUGCUCAGUGUUCAGUGGGUUUCUAGGUUUGUAAGUGUGACGCUUUUUGAUAGCUUAGAUGUUAGGUACACGCCAUGCUAACACGUCUGAUGUGUCUGAGCGCUAAAUGUGAACACUGCGACAUACUGCCCUUCAACUAAGAUUUAAGUCAAGGCCAGAGAAACUUUCCCUGCAGGCACUGACUAUUGUAAGUGAUAUGCCUGGUAUUUUAAAGGUUAUUUGAAUACCUGUGAAUAUAAUUCCUCAUAAUAGCAGACUGUAUGCUAACAUCGUGGCACAUAUUCUCUGUACUUGCAAUCCAACAAUUCAGCAUAAUUAGCCUGAGUGCUUGCACAGCAUGUAGUCCCUUUAUAUCACAAUAACAUCAAUCAUGAUGGCAAAAAUUCUAGCGGUCAGAAAAAACAGAGUCUAGCCAUUACUUUAUGACAAAAUGCAGUAUAACAGCAGGUAACAGCAACAUUUACCAUCAUAUAUUUUUGAGCGUUAACCACAUGCGAACAGUACCAACAUUAUUCAUUAGCUGUACACUCCCUGUGAACUUUUGGUCUUUGAGGACAUACCAUAACAUGCUCACACACAGUGCAAAGUAAGGAAGCGUUCAAUAACUGAUCUUGGAUAAAACCUUCAUGGCAUCAUUUUAUUGGUUCAUGUUUUAAGGAGGCGGUGCCCCUCGACUGGUAUAUAUGCAUACAUAUGUCUAUACAGCUGAAAGGCUUUGCGAUGACAGAUUAUGUUAUAAUACAUUCUGAGUUAACAGAGGACCUAGGUAUAGGUCUGUACAUUUUAUCUAUUUACACUUACUAUAUAUCAGUCAUUUUCAUGGAUCUUAGCAUUAUUUUCUUUUUAUGUCUCGAUGAUAAUGCUUUUUUCCCCCUCAAUAUUAAUUUACAGGAGAUCUCGAAAACAAGAAAACAGACUGGUCACGAUGAUUGACUGAGUUGUCCUGUGCUAUCAUUUCCCAAACUAAUGAGACAAGUUCAGACUAUUUCUUUUUGUAUGUUUCAAAUCAUUGUCAGGAGAAAGUAAGUCCACAGAAGGAAAUUUAAUGUAACUGACAAGUUCAUCUGAAGUAGAAUCUUAUAUUUAGCAUAUAAACAGAGUCCUGAGAGGGAAAAGCCUGAUGCUUCAACAGGAGGAUUGUUUGAGUUGUGUGAUACAUCUUUAAAAUAUCUAAUGGUGCAGAUCAGAGAGUUACCACUGAUAAAUGCUGUAGCCUAAAGAUGUUAUUUGAUUUCUAUAAAUCUAUGUUCUGUAAAUGUUUAUGUUUAUUUUAGAUUCUGUCUUAUCAUGUUUGAACUUUUUAUGUGUGUUUUACAGAUUUUUAAAGUCCUCUAUCUUAAUUUUUUACAGUUUUUUUAAUUGCAUCGGACUGCUUUUGCAACUUUAGGGAUUCAUAUUAAGAUCGAUCGAUUAGUUGGGAUCCCCGGAAAACAGCAGAAAUUAACUCUUUAUGUGACAAAACUCAGUAAACUAAAUGUAUGGUUGCAUUGCUGCCAAGGUUGAUCAUUUUCUCUGCAGGAUAUGACUGUGCGCUAUCCCUGCAGCCAGCUGACACUCAACAUUUUGGAUCAAUAGAGUCUCAACCCCACUCUUGACACGUGCUGUGAAACUGCAGAUUAUUAAUCCGGGACAUUCAUACCAGGAAUUUUUCUGCCAUGAGGUGUCAACUUUUUGUGGUGUCCAUUAAACCUCAUCCUGCUUCCACUUCCUGAGUGAUUCAGCACUUUUCCAAGAACUACUUUCGACACCCUCUGAGUUUUUGUCCGGACUUGUUGCAGCCAGAUUUGGUUCUACCUUGGAUAAAGUGAUAAUGACAGGCAGAGUAUUGGCUCAUGCAGCAACACUCAUGCUGACUCAGCAAGACGGCUAAUAGCUGCAGCGAAGGGAGAUUUUCUGACAGUGCAUGUAAUUCAAUAAGAACAGAUGUAGCAGAUCAUGAGAGACAUUUAUGCCACUGUAGAAACUGGCCAAACUGUAUUUUUUUUGUUUUUUUGGGGGGCUAAUGAUGGAGUUUGAUAAUCACAGACAGAAGCUCUCGGAAACAAAGAAGUGUGAUAAGUUUAUACUCUCAUUUUCUUAAAGGUAUUUCCUUGUCUUUCAAAUUAAAAUAAAACGUAUACUUUAUUUUUGCCAGUAAAAAUAACCUUACAUAAAUCUGCCCCACGUUUUACUCUGCAAAUAAUUCUUCUUUUCUCUGACACUCGAUUUGGAUUUUAAACAAUAAAUGAGGCGUCUUUUACAGCACAAAGCAUCAUGGGACCCAGACGUUUCAAUGCAAAAUAAAAAAUCAUUCAGUUUAUUUGUUUCAUGAGCGGAAAUUUUACUUUCUUGGACAGCUGUUUGAAUGAUUUUUUAUUGGGAUUAUUUUUAUGACAUUCUCGAGCAAUAGUCGAACGUCUUUAAGACGCUGCUGCGGGUGGAACUGUAAGAC